RNAcentral lists this ribosomal RNA (459 nucleotides) under uncultured bacterium. Its description in RNAcentral is "partial 16S ribosomal RNA". It matches the Rfam family "Bacterial small subunit ribosomal RNA", at positions 338 to 794 of the family's 1533-position model. The record is from RNAcentral.
CCUACGGGUGGCAGCAGUGAGGAAUAUUGGUCAAUGGGCGGAAGCCUGAACCAGCCAAGUCGCGUGAGGGAUUAAGGCCCUAUGGGUCGUAAACCUCUUUUGUCAGGGAGCAAGGUCGUCCACGUGUGGGCGUAUGGAGAGUACCUGAAGAAAAAGCAUCGGCUAACUCCGUGCCAGCAGCCGCGGUAAUACGGAGGAUGCGAGCGUUAUCCGGAUUUAUUGGGUUUAAAGGGUGCGUAGGCGGGACCUUAAUUCAGCGGUAACAUUGCGGUGCACAACGCGGUAGAGCCGGUGAAACUGGGGCUCAUGAGUGAGCGAGAAGUAUGCGGAAUGCGGGGUGUAGCGGUGAAAUGCAUAGAUAGCACGCAGAACCCCGAUGGCGAAGGCAGCAUACCGGCGCUCAACUGACGCUGAGGCACGAAAGUGCGGGUAUCGAACAGGAUUAGAUACCCGAGUAGU